GCGGAGAGCGGGGACGCUGUUGGUCAUUUCGAAGCGCCGAAUACUGGGCGUGAUGUACACGCUUUUCAUCAUCUUUCUUUUCAACAUUUACGUUAUUCCGGUGCUGCUGAUACCUCUCAAUGACACAGUUCGGCUCCCGGUGCCAAGCUUGAUGGAAGUAUGCGCUCAGUGUGAGUGCAAUCCCAACAACUUGAUCAUGUGCAGAGUGAACCCCAGCACCGGAUGCUACUGCGUGAGGGGAUUCUACCGCCUCGGCGUAGACGGAAAGUGCAUGGAGCGGGCACUCUGCGAGCAGAGAUGAACAAAAAAAGGCGAUAAAUAACUCCACUGCUUAUAUUUCUACGCCUGUCCUUGGGCAUACUAAUGCAUAUAAUCACUACGCUGGCCUGUAAUAUAAUCUAGACAGAGAUGAUAAGAAUGAUACCUAUGCUGCAAGAAGCUGCCGAAGGCCUUCAAGAACGCAACGAAGCAUUACAUACAGUUGCACCGGGAACACGUAUUACAACGCGAAAAUCGGAACAAUGGAUCGAAAUCGCAACAUCGGCAAUGUGCAAAUACUACAGGUUUAAAUUGUUGGCUCGUCAAGAGGUCGAUAAAUUUCUGUUCAUACUUUGCCAUUCAAUCAUGUUUCGUCUGAAUGUAUCGUUCUUCAGCUUCUCUUGUAGCGAAAGAAUAAAUAUUUUCAAAUAAAGUUGUGGUAUAAUAAAAACGUGUUGAGAAA
This is a long non-coding RNA of Rhipicephalus microplus (southern cattle tick), 721 nucleotides long. RefSeq lists it as uncharacterized. Lineage: Eukaryota; Metazoa; Arthropoda; Arachnida; Ixodida; Ixodidae. The record is from RefSeq and is a predicted model, not a curated record.